Molecule: ribosomal RNA, 490 nt
Filed under: uncultured Anaerolineaceae bacterium
Lineage: Bacteria; Bacillati; Chloroflexota; Anaerolineae; Anaerolineales; Anaerolineaceae
Description: bacterial SSU rRNA
Rfam family: Bacterial small subunit ribosomal RNA
Source: RNAcentral
CGCGUUGUGCGAAGAAGGCCUUCGGGUUGUAAAGCACUUUUCGGGAGGAAGAGGAAGGACUGUACUCCCGGAAUAAGUCUCGGCUAACUACGUGCCAGCAGCCGCGGUAAUACGUAGGAGGCUAACGUUAUCCGGAUUUACUGGGCGUAAAGCGCGUGUAGGCGGUUCGGUAAGUUGGACGUGAAAGCUCCCGGCUCAACUGGGAGAGGUCGUUCAAUACUGUCGGACUUGAGGAUGGUAGAGGGAGGUGGAAUUCCGGGUGUAGUGGUGAAAUGCGCAGAUAUCCGGAGGAACACCAGUGGCGAAAGCGGCCUCCUGGACCAUUCCUGACGCUCAGACGCGAAAGCUAGGGUAGCAAACGGGAUUAGAGACCCCGGUAGUCCUAGCUGUAAACGAUGUGAACUUGGCGUCGGUGGGAUUAAAUCCAUCGGUGUCGAAGCUAACGCGAUAAGUUCACCGCCUGAGGACUACGGCCGCAAGGUUAAAACUC